ACCGUUGAAAUCCAAUAAACCUGAUAGGUGAUUGGUGACUCAAUAAUGGUGUUACUGGGAUACCUGUGACAUUCAAUCGACUGGGGCACCGUAGGGACUCCAGCCUUUCAGUGUUCCUUAAUAGGCGGGGAUUCCAUAAUGGCAGCGUUGGCACCAACUAAAACCUCUCGGCAACCAUGUUCUAAUUCUCGAUGACGAGUCGGAAUUCAAACCACAAUGAAAACUCAUCCCUACAUACG
RNAcentral lists this long non-coding RNA (239 nucleotides) under Lathyrus oleraceus (garden pea). RNAcentral's name for it is "Pisum sativum (pea) long non-coding RNA (PSAT_LNC005926)". Lineage: Eukaryota; Viridiplantae; Streptophyta; Magnoliopsida; Fabales; Fabaceae. The record is from RNAcentral.